GGCCACCUUGAGAAGCUGCGAAGAUGGCGGAGUAAGGCGUGCCGCUGCAAACUGGCCUCUGGGCCGGGGGCGAGCAGCCCCCGGGAGGCCGAGUGCAUCUGUUGGACCGUGCGAGGAGAAGAAAAAAAAUAUCGGCCAGAGGAGAGGAACUAACCGAACAUUCUUCCUCCCUACCUUAUAGAGGGGAGUGGUCAUCUACACUAAAGCAAAGUGUUAGGCGCGUCCGUGCGAAGAGACCACCAAACAGGCUUUGUGUUCCUUAUCACAGGAAGAAAAUUUUCCUUGACCUUUAGGUGCUUUUAUAUUCAUCUCAAAAACAAAAUUCUGAACUCAGGACUUGGCAACAUAACUCCAGUCUUCACAUGAAGUUCUUCCUGUGUGUGUAUCUGAGUCCUAAUAUAAGGAGACUAGUCAUAUUGGAUUGGGGUCCAUCCUGCUCUGUUAAUGACCUCAUCUUAGCUGCUGACAUCUGUAAUGACUCUAUUACCAAAUAAGGUCACAGUAUGAGGUAGUAGGGGCUAGGACUUUUAACAUACGAAUAUUGGGAGGACACAGUUCAACCCAUUAACACCUACUUAUACCUUGAUUAAUUAUAUGAAAACCAUUCAGUGUACAACUGCUUCAAGGAUUGAAACCUUGUAUGUAGUCCCAGCUACUCUGGAAACUGAGGUAGUAGGAUUGCUUGAGGCCUGAAGUUCAAGGCUGCAGUAUGCUGAUUGUGCCUGUGAAUAGCCACUGCACCCCAGCUUGGGCAGCAUCAGAAUUAUAGAGACAGAAAGUAGAAUGAUGGUUGCCAGGGGUUGCAGGAAGGGCAGCGAGAGGGAAUUACUGUGUAAUGUGUACAAGGUUUCAGUUUGGGAAGAAGAAAUGAGUCCUGGAGAUGGAUUACGGUGAUGGUUGCACAGCAGUAUGAAUGUACUUAAUACUACUGAAUUGUAUACUCGAAAGGGUUAAUAUGGUGAAUUUUAUGUGUAUUUUAUCACAAUAAAAACAUUGAAAAAUAAAA
Molecule: long non-coding RNA, 1006 nt
Filed under: Homo sapiens (human)
Lineage: Eukaryota; Metazoa; Chordata; Mammalia; Primates; Hominidae
Description: OIP5 antisense RNA 1
Source: RNAcentral